RNAcentral lists this long non-coding RNA (1662 nucleotides) under Homo sapiens (human). RNAcentral describes it as "HSALNT0086251". Lineage: Eukaryota; Metazoa; Chordata; Mammalia; Primates; Hominidae. The record is from RNAcentral.
GCAUCAACUUACUACAGUCUAUGGUCUUUUGUGUCUGGCAUCGUUCACUUAGCGUGUUUUCAUGGUUCAUCCAGAUUGUAACAUGUUUCAGUAUUCCAUUGUCUUUUAUGACUAAAUAAUACUGAAUAAUACAUCCUUAUGUACCACAUUUUGUUUAUUCGUUCAUUAGUUGAUGGACAUGCAACUUGUUUCCACAUUUUGACUAUUAUGAGUAUUGCUGCUGUGAAUAUUUUUGUAUAACUUUUAAAAUACAGUUUUAGCAGAAACAUACCAUACACGUAUUUUCAUAAUCCACUUUUUUCAUUUACAUACCUUCAACUUUAAAAACUAAAUUCGGAUUAUUUUGUUUUUCAUGAGGACAUAGUAAUUUUUGUGCAUAUGUAAAAUUUUCUUCAUAACCAAUCCUUGUUGUUAUUGUUUAGAUAUUUAGGUAGUUUCCAGUGUUUCCUUAUUAUAGUUAUUAAUAUCUUGACCCUCCUUGAGGCACUUUUUUGUUUCUUUCACCAAGUAUGUGAACCUAUUGAGGCGAUAUUACUGCAUACAUUAUCGUUAGUUGCUAAUAAUAGAAUAUGGGAAAUGGAAAUGUUUGAAGGAUGCUCACAUGUCUGCCUAUACUGGAUAGCAUAACUCAGUGGUUCUCAAACUUUUUGGUCUCAGGAUCCUUUAUCCUCAAUUAUCAAGGACUCCAAAGAGUCCUUAUGUGGGUUAUACCUGUCAAGACUUACUGUAUUAAAAAUUAAAACUGGCCGGGCACAGUUGCUCAUACCUGUAAUCCCAACACUUUGGGAGGCUGAGUGAUCUGCCCGCCUCGGUCUCCCAAAGUGCUGGAAUUACAUGUAUGAGCCACCACGACUGGCCUUAUUGUGAAAAUAAUUUUGACCCCAUGGAUCUCCUGAAAGGGUCUCCGGGACCACUUGGUGUCCCUGAAUUGCACCUGGAGAACCCCUGCUACAGCUUAAUAAAAUCUCUACCAAUUAAAUGUGAUAGCCAUUUUGUUUCAGUUUGAAUUGUUUUCAUGUUUGGCUAUUUAUACUUCUUUUGUGGUAAAUUGCUUGUUUUUUCUUAUGUGUUGAUUUGUACAGACGUUUCUUACGUUGUUAUUAUUAAUAAUCCUUUUUAUGGGUUACCUUUAAAUAGUUUUUACUAUUAUGUAUGUGUUGGUUUUAAUUUUUACACAUUUAUCAGUUAUGUCCUUUAUGAAGUUUCUGCCUUUGUAACAUAUUGGGAAUUCUCUUCUAUAGCUAGAUUAUACAGUGCUUUCCUCUUUCACUGAUAAUACCAACUAUUAAGCAUCCACAGUGUGCCAGGAACUGUAUUAGGUAGUGAGCACAAAUUGGUAAACAAUGGAUAAAGGUCCCUGCCCUUAUUUGACUUAAACGUUGUUAGCAACAACAGUAAACUAUUAGAAACUGAAACGAACAGGAUUUUCCAGAACGUUUAAGCUGUUUUUAUUCAUUUUUUCCUCAAAGCCUAAAUAACAUAGAUAGAAGAAUGGUUUCUAUCAGUCCCUAGUUGGUUAAUCCUAAAAAGCACUGCUGGCUGGGCACGGUGACACACUGCCUGUAAUCCCAGCACUUUGGGAGGCCAAGGCGGGCAAUCAGUUGAGCCCAGGAGUUUGAGACCAGCCUAGGCAACAUGACAAGACCCCAUCUCUACAAAAAA